Molecule: long non-coding RNA, 1738 nt
Organism: Heterocephalus glaber (naked mole-rat)
Lineage: Eukaryota; Metazoa; Chordata; Mammalia; Rodentia; Bathyergidae
Source: RefSeq, a predicted model, not a curated record
CAGCCUCAGAGCGGAGGCCGUAUCGGGCCCCGUGGCGGCCACGGAAGCGGCGGCAGCUGGAAGCUUGUGGAAAUGGCGGCGCUGGGACGCGGCUCCACAGAGGGAUGGAGGAUUCCAGGGAACUGCUACCUACAGGGCCACGGCACCUUCUCGGAAUGCUUUUUUUGGUACCGGGGAUCGGACCUUGUGCAUAUAAGGCAGGCGACGGAACCACUGAGCUAAAUUCCCGGCCCGGGAUACUUUUUAUCUGUCUACGUAGAGGUUAACUUGUAGCAGUUGUACCUGCCCAGCCACCCAGGGAGGUGUGUACUCCGCAGUAAAUCACCUGCUCCCUCAUCAGCAACUGUGGGUCUAAAUUCAGCGUCCAAUUGCGCAUUAGUGAGUGCAGUCUCACGUUUAGGUCAGAUUGUCCUUUAUGUCACUGAUAUGAGGGCUCCCAUUCGACAGUCAGACUUUUCAGGAAAGCUGAGUUCCAACAAAUUACUUUAUAAAGCAGAAGCCUACGAUAAAGACCAGGAUUUUUCUUUUUUUUCAUUUCCUAGACUUCUCCCACCUAUGAUCAUUGAGUUCAAUAUGAAUAGUAAACGAGCCUUUUUGGCUAGAGGUGGAAUAUUGUUACGUUUAACUUAGAAUAUGCAUCAUGUAACAUUUAAAAAAAAAAUAGUCAAGAGAGACUAAGGUGGAAAGCACAUACUUUUAAGAUUUUGAAAAAUUACUUCUCUCAAGAUUAAAAAAAAAACGUACAUUUUAAGGACAUAUAAGACUUAGUAAAUCUUGGGCUGAAAGUGUAGUUCAGCGGUAGAAUGCUUGCCUGGCAAGCAGGAAGCCCUGGGUUUGAGCCCCCUACAGUGCAAAUAAUAAUCAGUUUUUAGGCACCAUAUUUACUGAUGAACAAUUAGUGUCAAGCACGAGCCAAACAAGGACUUUGAUAAAUCCUGAAAUAAUGGGAUUCGUUUAUAUUUGUCCAAUUGUUGAAGCUGGCUGUAUUUCUCUGUUUACAAAAGGAGUGUAUUGUAGCUUGUUUCUUGAACUGGAUGUAAUGUACAACCGCAUUCAUCCUUUCUUGUAAGUUGUAAUGGCCCUGCAACUGAGAAUUUAUUUGCAUGUCCAACAAUCUUCAACUGAUGAUUAUGCUGAUUUCUUCCAUUUGUAUAUAUACAGUGUUAGAAGGCCGAGGAGACUAAGGAUUUUGUACCUUUGUAAAAAAGAUAAAUGCUUUUAGAAAAAACUACCUCCUAUUAUUAUACCUACAAUGGGCUUCAAGUCUUACCAGUUGGAAAUAGAGUAACAAUUGUGUCCUGUAAAUAUUAAAAUGUUUAAAGGAAUAUAAAUAUAUAAAGCUUAUAGAAACAUAAUGUUAACUUAGAACUUCUCUGUGGCUAAAGAUGGGAAAACAGUGUAUUUGAAUUCAACAGAAGUUUUACUUCACAACACCCUAACGUUGGUAAAAGUGACACUAGGUAACUGUUAACUUGAUCACAUAAUGUCUUCGUGGCCACUGAUAGCAGACAACUGUAAAAUGGUGCUGUCAAGUGGACAUAAUAUUUACAGCUGCAACUUGCCAGGUUACCAGGGUGCACACAGAGCAGGAUAACCAAAUAAUAAAAAAGUUUAUGUAGAUAGGAGGUUCACACUUUAUUUCUCCAGCGACAUAUUUACAGCAGAGUGUAAAUUAGAGGCCUGCUUGCACACCAAACCCAGGUCCUUUAGGUGGUUCAGUCAACGAGGUGAGACCUCC